UGGUAGUACCAAAACAGAUGUAGCAUAUAGGUGUGGCGAUUUUGCGUCAAGAGGAUUGUAUUUUAUUCAGUUCAUUCAUUUCUUUCAAUCUCGAUCUGAUUUGGUCAGUCACUGGUUCUUAGGAAAGAAAGGAAGGAUCAGAAAAGAAAUUAAGUGCUCUCCCUUUUUUUUUGUUUUCUUUUACCAAGACGACACGCACUUGAUUCUUGGGCACAUGAAAAGAAG
Molecule: long non-coding RNA, 225 nt
Filed under: Setaria viridis
Lineage: Eukaryota; Viridiplantae; Streptophyta; Magnoliopsida; Poales; Poaceae
Description: long non-coding RNA (SVIR_LNC011438)
Source: RNAcentral